Long non-coding RNA from Microtus oregoni (creeping vole), 305 nucleotides. RefSeq lists it as uncharacterized. The transcript is spliced from 3 exons. The record is from RefSeq and is a predicted model, not a curated record. Lineage: Eukaryota; Metazoa; Chordata; Mammalia; Rodentia; Cricetidae.
CGUGGGAGGUGUGUGGGAAGAGCAGCCUGUCGGGAGCCACUGUAGGUGAAAGGCAAGAAGAAGAGAUGGACUAUUAUGGGCCUUCAUGGGGGUCAUGCUGGGCUUUACAGAAGCCGAAGGGCCAAAGAUGGCCAAGCCUGAUUACAAUUCUGCUUUCGUGUCCAUGGCUUGAAGAAGGAAAGCAGCAUCUACUUCUCGGAAAUUGCGGAAAUAGCAUCAGCGGCGUGGGGAACGAAUGUAAGCAUGGUGGUUGAAGCAUCACGAUCACCCUGACCUGUGAGGACAAGUGUGUGGUCAAAGUCUGG